AAGGCUUUAAGUUAAAUAAACUUAUAACCUUCAAAGCUAUAAAUAAAGAUAAAUUAAUUCUUUAAGUCUUA
This 71-nucleotide transfer RNA is filed under the name Margattea spinifera. RNAcentral's name for it is "tRNA-Trp". RNAcentral also lists the same sequence under 1 other name. The record is from RNAcentral. Lineage: Eukaryota; Metazoa; Arthropoda; Insecta; Blattodea; Pseudophyllodromiidae.